UACGGGGGGGGCAAGCGUUGUUCGGAAUUACUGGGCGUAAAGGGCUCGUAGGCGGCCAACUAAGUCAGACGUGAAAUCCCUCGGCUUAACCGGGGAACUGCAUCUGAUACUGGAUGGCUUGAGUUCGGGAGAGGGAUGCGGAAUUCCAGGUGUAGCGGUGAAAUGCGUAGAUAUCUGGAGGAAUACCGGUGGCGAAGGCGGCAUCCUGGACCGGCAUUGACGCUGAGGAGCGAAAGCCAGGGGGGCAAACGGG
RNAcentral lists this ribosomal RNA (253 nucleotides) under uncultured bacterium. RNAcentral describes it as "partial 16S ribosomal RNA". It matches the Rfam family "Bacterial small subunit ribosomal RNA", at positions 524 to 776 of the family's 1533-position model. The record is from RNAcentral.